This 431-nucleotide ribosomal RNA is filed under the name uncultured bacterium. RNAcentral describes it as "bacterial SSU rRNA". It matches the Rfam family "Bacterial small subunit ribosomal RNA", at positions 29 to 506 of the family's 1533-position model. The record is from RNAcentral.
AUGAAUGCUGGCGGCGUGGAUGAGGCAUGCAAGUCGAAUGAAUUUAGAUUCAUGGCAGACGAGGUAGGAACACGUAGGUACGUACCCUAAAGUCAGGGAUAAUCCGUCGAAAGGCGGGAUAAUACUUGAUGGUCCCUUCGGGGUAAAGAUUUAUCGCUUUAGGAACGGCCUGCGGGCUAUCAGCUUGUUGGUAAGGUAACGGCUUACCAAGGCUACGACGGCUAGGGGAGGUGAGAGCCUGACCCCCACCGAUGGAACUGCGACACGGUCCAUACUCCUACGGGAGGCUGCAGUCGAGAAUCUUCCGCAAUGGACGAAAGUCUGACGGAGCGACGCCGCGUGGUGGAUGAAGCACUUUGGUGCGUAAACACCUUUUAUGAGGGAGGAAGUUUAUUGACGUUACCUCAUGAAUAAGGGGCUCCCAACUCUGU